UUACGGAGAGUUUGAUUCUGGCUCAGAACGAACGCUGGUAGCGUGGAUUAGGCAUGCAAGUCGAACGAGAAUUCGCUGCUUCAAGUCGCAAGGCAAGAAGCGGCGGAGGAGAGUGGCGAAAGGGUGAGGAACGCGUGGGCAAUCUGCCUCCAAGUUGAGUAUAACCCUUCGAAAGGAGGGCUAAUACUGAAUGUGAUCGCCGGCCGCAUGGCCGGUUGUUUAAAGACGGGGACCCGCAAGGGCCUGUUGCUUGGAGAGGAGCCCGCGUCCUAUCAGCUAGUUGGUGAGGUGACGGCUCACCAAGGCGAUGACGGGUAGCUGGUCUGAGAGGAUGGUCAGCCACACUGGGACUGAGACACUGCCCAGACUCCUACGGGAGGCUGCAGUCGAGGAUCAUUUGCAAUGGGCGCAAGCCUGACAAUGCGACGCUGCGUGGAGGAUGAAGGCCUUCGGGUUGUAAACUCCUGUCAUUUGGGAACAAACUCGGGAGGGGGAAUAUCCUUUCCGGGGUGAUAGUACCAGAAGAGGAAGUCACGGCUAACUCUGUGCCAGCAGCCGCGGUGAUACAGAGGUGGCAAGCGUUGUUCGGAUUUACUGGGCGUAAAGGGUGCGUAGGCGGUUUUGCGUGUCAGAUGUGAAAGUUCAUCGCUCAACGGUGAAAGUGCAUUUGAAACUGCAGGAC
Molecule: ribosomal RNA, 682 nt
Filed under: Lentisphaerota bacterium
Lineage: Bacteria; Pseudomonadati; Lentisphaerota
Description: bacterial SSU rRNA
Rfam family: Bacterial small subunit ribosomal RNA
Source: RNAcentral